Molecule: transfer RNA, 67 nt
Filed under: Epinephelus hexagonatus (starspotted grouper)
Lineage: Eukaryota; Metazoa; Chordata; Actinopteri; Perciformes; Serranidae
Description: tRNA-Cys
Source: RNAcentral
AGCUCUGAGGUGUAUUACAUAUUAGAUUGCAAAUCUAAAGAAGCAAAUUAAACGUUUGCCGGGGCUU